Long non-coding RNA from Suricata suricatta (meerkat), 902 nucleotides. RefSeq lists it as uncharacterized. NCBI's taxonomy places the organism in Eukaryota, Metazoa, Chordata, Mammalia, Carnivora, Herpestidae. The transcript is spliced from 5 exons. The record is from RefSeq and is a predicted model, not a curated record.
UAGGAAUGCCUGAGCAAUGACGCACAUGCCCCACCUGGAAGGGGGUGGGCAGCUUGCUAGCCCUGCUUUGCCCUCAGCUUGCCUUCUGCUCCCUCAUCAGGUCUGUCUGCAGAGUUGUCAUUGGAUAUAAUGCAGAGUUAAGAGACAAACUGCAAUGAACAGCUCAGGGAACAACGCGAGACAAAGGUCGGUGAGUACAAGCAGAAAUGCCUCUUAUUUAAAUACCUGCUUGCGUCUUAGAGCUCUCACUGGGAUCCCACCUGCACGACCUCCACCACCUCCUCCUGAAACGAGACACAACCUUGUAACCGACCUGAACAAUUCUCAAGACUGCGGGAAGUGCUAUUUAUAGUGGGUACAACGGCUUCAGAGUUACUUCCUGGAGUUGGAGCACUGGGUGCAGUCCCAACGGAGCCAACAAGGUGCACUCCAUGGCAUCUGGAGGGGAACGCAAGCCAGGAGGGGUAAAGAGGAGGGAGCAGAGGGUCCCGAAGCAGACUCCACUGACAGGCUGGCAGCACAGAGCCCAACAUGGGGCUCGAACUCACUCCUGAGCCAAAGUCGGACAGUCAACCAACUGAACCAGCCAGUAAAGAAACAGGAACUUCCCUUGAGAGAGGGAAGUGCUCAGACAAAACUCGAAGGCCUGGCACGCCCACGCCGGAGGGUCGUGCUGUAAGCCUGUGUCCCGACAAGUCCUGUACGUCGGGAUUCAUGCUCCUGCUUGGUACCCUUUUGGAAUUAAGAUCUGGAAUUUAUUACCAGAUAGGUGCCCAGACGAUGGCGCUGCUGCUAAACCAGAGACCACGUGUUCACCGCAAGACGGGUUCGCCUCAAGGGACACAAACCACGAGAGGCUACUGAGUUCUGAAAAUGAACGGAGGGCUGCGGGUAGAGGAGGA